CCCAGACUCCUACGGGAGGCAGCAGUGGGGAAUAUUGGACAAUGGGGGGAACCCUGAUCCAGCGACGCCGCGUGAGUGAAGAAGUAUUUCGGUAUGUAAAGCUCUAUCAGUAGGGAAGAAAAUGACGGUACCUGACUAAGAAGCCCCGGCUAACUACGUGCCAGCAGCCGCGGUAAUACGUAGGGGGCAAGCGUUAUCCGGAUUUACUGGGUGUAAAGGGAGCGUAGACGGCGGUGCAAGCCAGAUGUGAAAGCCCGGGGCUCAACCCCGGGACUGCAUUUGGAACUGUGCUGCUAGAGUGUCGGAGAGGCAGGCGGAAUUCCUAGUGUAGCGGUGAAAUGCGUAGAUAUUAGGAGGAACACCGGUGGCGAAGGCGGCCUGCUGGACUGUAACUGACAUUGAGGCUCGAAAGCGUGGGGAGCAAACAGGAUUAGAUACCCCCGUAUA
RNAcentral lists this ribosomal RNA (447 nucleotides) under uncultured bacterium. RNAcentral's name for it is "partial 16S ribosomal RNA". It matches the Rfam family "Bacterial small subunit ribosomal RNA", at positions 330 to 794 of the family's 1533-position model. The record is from RNAcentral.